ACUCCUACGGGAGGCAGCAGUGGGAAUAUUGCACAAUGGGCGCAAGCCUGAUGCAGCCAUGCCGCGUGUGUGAAGAAGGCCUUCGGUUGUAAGCACUUUCAGUCGUGAGGAAGGUAGUGUAGUUAUAGCUGCAUUAUUUGACGUUAGCGACAGAAGAAGCACCGGCUAACUCCGUGCCAGCAGCCGCGGUAAUACGGAGGGUGCGAGCGUUAAUCGGAAUUACUGGGCGUAAAGCGCAUGCAGGUGGUUUGUUAAGUCAGAUGUGAAAGCCCGGGCUCAAGCCUC
This 285-nucleotide ribosomal RNA is filed under the name uncultured bacterium. Its description in RNAcentral is "partial 16S ribosomal RNA". It matches the Rfam family "Bacterial small subunit ribosomal RNA", at positions 335 to 616 of the family's 1533-position model. The record is from RNAcentral.